GAUGAACGCUGGCGGCGUGCCUAAUACAUGCAAGUCGAGCGAACAGACGAGGAGCUUGCUCCUCUGACGUUAGCGGCGGACGGGUGAGUAACACGUGGAUAACCUACCUAUAAGACUGGGAUAACUUCGGGAAACCGGAGCUAAUACCGGAUAACAUGUUGAACCGCAUGGUUCAACAGUGAAAGACGGUCUUGCUGUCACUUAUAGAUGGAUCCGCGCCGCAUUAGCUAGUUGGUAAGGUAACGGCUUACCAAGGCAACGAUGCGUAGCCGACCUGAGAGGGUGAUCGGCCACACUGGAACUGAGACACGGUCCAGACUCCUACGGGAGGCAGCAGUAGGGAAUCUGCCGCAAUGGGCGAAAGCCUGACGGAGCAACGCCGCGUGAGUGAAGAAGGUCUUCGGAUCGUAAAACUCUGUUAUUAGGGAAGAACAAAUGUGUAAGUAACGAUGCACGUCUUGACGGUACCUAAUCAGAAAGCCACGGCUAACUACGUG
Molecule: ribosomal RNA, 497 nt
Filed under: uncultured bacterium
Lineage: Bacteria
Description: partial 16S ribosomal RNA
Rfam family: Bacterial small subunit ribosomal RNA
Source: RNAcentral